GAAGGAGUCCUGACUAAGAAGCAGUAACAAGCAGAAGAACAAGUCUGUGCUGUGAAGAACUGCCCCCAAGAAAUAUUGCUGAGAAGUGCCAGAAUUCAAUGCCCCUCAGCAGCUUGCCUGUAUUACCUGUAAGAUGGAAGUGCAAGUGGAGAUUAUGCAUCCCCAACCCCUUUGCAUACACACAGACACAGGAAAAAAAGCUGGAAAAAGGCUAAAGAAUUAACUGAUAAGUUCUGACAUGGCAUUUGGAGCUCUGCUGGAUAUUCCUGAGGUCCUGUCCUUAUGGAGAGAGGACUUUGCUGUGCCAGAUAAAUAGGAAGAAACGCACUUGCAGUGUGACUGGAUCAGCGUCCCUCAGCAGUAAAGACUUUCCCUACACUGUCACCAAACCCAGUUAGCUUAAAAGACAGGAAAACCCAAACCACUCACAACUUCCUCCCUGAUCAGUGCAAAUCAGCCAUGAACUGGAAUCUCUGGAAGUCACUUAACAGCCUGUAACUUGUAUGAGAAACUCUCUAUUUUAAGAGAAUUUCUGCAUCUGUUUCCCCAGCAGACCCUGCCAAAAGAAGACACUGGCAGGAUUUCGGCAUCUUGCCUUCUGCUUGAAACUUCUGUGAGAGCACAGCCCCAUUCAACAGUUUGGACUGGAUUAAUUUUUAAAGAGUGCUUGGAGGCUACUUGAGGACAAGCAAACACUGCAUGUGGCUGUUGCAUGAGUGAGCAGUCAAAGGGGAGAGCACAACCACAACCUGGCCUCUCAGGGACUCUGCACUGCUUCUGAGGAUAAGGCAGCAG
This is a non-coding RNA of Zonotrichia albicollis (white-throated sparrow), 795 nucleotides long. The record is from RefSeq and is a predicted model, not a curated record. Lineage: Eukaryota; Metazoa; Chordata; Aves; Passeriformes; Passerellidae.